AUUGAACGCUGGCGGCAUGCCUUACACAUGCAAGUCGAACGGCAGCACGGGAGCAAUCCUGGUGGCGAGUGGCGAACGGGUGAGUAAUAUAUCGGAACGUGCCCAGUCGUGGGGAUAACGUAGCGAAAGCUACGCUAAUACCGCAUACGAUCUAUGGAUGAAAGCGGGGGAUCGCAAGACCUCGCGCGAUUGGAGCGGCCGAUAUCAGAUUAGGUAGUUGGUGAGGUAAAGGCUCACCAAGCCGACGAUCUGUAGCUGGUCUGAGAGGACGACCAGCCACACUGGGACUGAGACACGGCCCAGACUCCUACGGGAGGCAGCAGUGGGGAAUUUUUGGACAAUGGGCGCAAGCCUGAUCCAGCAAUGCCGCGUGCAGGAUGAAGGCCUUCGGUGUAACU
This 398-nucleotide ribosomal RNA is filed under the name uncultured bacterium. Its description in RNAcentral is "bacterial SSU rRNA". It matches the Rfam family "Bacterial small subunit ribosomal RNA", at positions 30 to 431 of the family's 1533-position model. The record is from RNAcentral.